Scophthalmus maximus (turbot) is the source of this 365-nucleotide long non-coding RNA. RefSeq lists it as uncharacterized. The transcript is spliced from 2 exons. The record is from RefSeq and is a predicted model, not a curated record. NCBI's taxonomy places the organism in Eukaryota, Metazoa, Chordata, Actinopteri, Pleuronectiformes, Scophthalmidae.
CUUGACUUGUUUGUGUUUGUCCAUCAGCGCCAUAAACUACGCAGUCUGAACCCGGAGCAGCGAAGAACAGAUCCAAGUGUUGAGGAGCCCCUCGAGUGAUGUCCGCUUCAAUUCACCUGUACACAAAUUGGAAAAAUGGCCCAAUGCUGCCUCGUCCCAGGAACUCUGCAGGGGAGAAGGCUGAGCACUGCUCUGCCUGGGAAGACACUGGUACUAUGCAGCCAUCUGUGCCACACGCUAGGCUCUCACGAUUACCAAUCUAUACAGGAGAAAGAAGCGUCAUAAUGUAUCAUGUGUCAAUUCUACCAUUAAAAUUGGAAAAAAUAAAUAACUUAUGUGUAUAUAAAUAAAACAGCAAACUAAAA